GAACGCAACUUGCGCUCCUUGGUAUUCCAUGGAGCAUGCCUGUUUGAGUGUCACGUAAACCCUCACCCAAGUGAUGUUACAGUCGUCUUGUGGUGGAUUUGGAUUGUGCCGUAAUUGGCUCAUCCUGAAAUGCAUUAGCUUGCGCUUUUUACAGUGCUCGGCAUGGUGUGAUAAUUAUCUGCGCCGUCGCCUUAGGCCUGUUCUAUAUGUGUAGCUUCUAAUCGUCCCUUGUGGACAACUUACUUAACACUUUGGCCUCAAAUCAGGUAGGAUUACCCGCUGAACUUAAG
Molecule: unclassified non-coding RNA, 290 nt
Filed under: uncultured fungus
Lineage: Eukaryota; Fungi
Description: sequence contains 5.8S rRNA gene
Rfam family: 5.8S ribosomal RNA (bases 1-53)
Source: RNAcentral